GUUGUAUGGUCAAGUAAUGAAGUGCACAUGGUGGAUGCCUUGGCAGUCAGAGGCGAUGAAAGACGUGAUAGCCUGCGAUAAGCGUCGGUGAGGUGGCAAUAUCCUGUGACCCGGCGAUUUCUGAAUGGGGAAACCCAACCAACACAAGUUGGUUAUUACACAGUUUACUGUGUAAGGCAAACCGGGAGAAGUGAAACAUCUCAGUACCCCGAGGAAAAGACAUCAAAUGAGAUUCCGUAAGUAGCGGCGAGCGAACACGGAGGAGCCGAUCAAUUUUACAGUAGCAAAAUGGCCUGGGAAAGCCAACCAUAGUAGGUGAUAGUCCUGUAUGCGAAACUGUUUAAGCGACAUAUUAAGUAGGGCGGAACACGAGAAAUUCUGUCUGAAGAUGGGGGGACCAUCCUCCAAGGCUAAAUACUCCUGACUGACCGAUAGUGAACCAGUACCGUGAGGGAAAGGCGAAAAGAACCCCUGUUAGGGGAGUGAAAUAGAACCUGAAACCGUGUGCAUACAAGCAGUCGGAGCGGACUUGUUCCGUGACGGCGUACCUUUUGUAUAAUGGGUCAGCGACUUAUAUUCUGUAGCAAGGUUAACCGAAUAGGGGAGCCGUAGGGAAACCGAGUCUUAAUAGGGCGAAUGAGUUGCAGGGUAUAGACCCGAAACCGAGUGAUCUAUCCAUGAGCAGGUUGAAAGUGCCGUAACAGGCACCGGAGGACCGAACCCACUGUCGUUGAAAAGCCAGGGGAUGACUUGUGGAUAGGGGUGAAAGGCUAAUCAAACUCGGUGAUAGCUGGUUCUCCCCGAAAGCUAUUUAGGUAGCGCCUCGGACGAACACCAUUGGGGGUAGAGCACUGUUUCGGCUAGGGGGUCACACCGACUUACCAAACCGAUGCAAACUCCGAAUACCGAUGAGUGAUAUCCGGGAGACAGACGGCGGGUGCUAACGUCCGUCGUCAAGAGGGAAACAACCCAGACCGCCAGCUAAGGCCCCAAAUUCCUAGUUAAGUGGGAAACGAUGUGGGAAGGCACAGACAGCUAGGAGGUUGGCUUAGAAGCAGCCACCCUUUAAAGAAAGCGUAAUAGCUCACUAGUCGAGUCGGCCUGCGCGGAAGAUGUAACGGGGCUCAAACUAGGAGCCGAAGCUGCGGAUUUAAUUGUUUCAAUUAAGUGGUAGGGGAGCGUUGUGUAAGCCUGUGAAGGUGCACUGUAAGGUGUGCUGGAGGUAUCACAAGAGCGAAUGCUGACGUGAGUAACGACAAAACGGGUGAAAAGCCCGUUCGCCGGAAGACCAAGGGUUCCAGUCCAACGUUAAUCGGGGCUGGGUGAGUCGACCCCUAAGGCGAGGCCGAAAGGCGUAGUCGAUGGGAAAUCGGUUAAUAUUCCGAUACUUGUUUAUGAUGCGAUGGAGGGACGGAGAAGGUUAUGCCAGCCUGGCGAUGGUUGUCCAGGUGGAAGGAUGUAGUUAGACUGAGUAGGCAAAUCCGCUCGGUUAUUAAUGAGAUCUGAUAGCAAGCCAGUUUACUGGCGAAGUGGCAAAUACCCUGCUUCCAGGAAAAGCUUCUAAGCGAUAGUCAUAAACGAAUCGUACCCGAAACCGACACAGGUGGUCAGGUAGAGAAUACCAAGGCGCUUGAGAGAACUCUGCUGAAGGAACUAGGCAAAAUGGUACCGUAACUUCGGGAGAAGGUACGCUGCCGAUGGUGAUGAAACUUGCUUUCUGAGCUGUUGGCAGUCGCAGAUACCAGGCUGCUGCAACUGUUUAUUAAAAACACAGCACUCUGCAAACACGAAAGUGGACGUAUAGGGUGUGAUGCCUGCCCGGUGCUGGAAGGUUAAUUGAUGGGGUUAGCGUAAGCGAAGCUCUUGAUCGAAGCCCCAGUAAACGGCGGCCGUAACUAUAACGGUCCUAAGGUAGCGAAAUUCCUUGUCGGGUAAGUUCCGACCUGCACGAAUGGCAUAAUGAUGGCAGCGCUGUCUCCAGCAGAGACUCAGUGAAAUCGAAAUCGCAGUGAAGAUGCUGUGUACCCGCGGCUAGACGGAAAGACCCCGUGAACCUUUACUACAGCUUUACAUUGAACUUUGACCUAACUUGUGUAGGAUAGGUGGGAGGCUUUGAAGCAGAUACGCCAGUAUUUGUGGAGCCAACCUUGAAAUACCACCCUGGUUAUGUUGGGGUUCUAACUUAGGAUUAACAAAUCCAAGGACAAUGUAUGGUGGGUAGUUUGACUGGGGCGGUCUCCUCCUAAAGAGUAACGGAGGAGUACGAAGGUGCGCUCAGAACGGUCGGAAAUCGUUCAAAGAGUAUAAAGGCAAAAGCGCGCUUAACUGCGAGACCCACAAGUCGAGCAGGUACGAAAGUAGGUCUUAGUGAUCCGGUGGUUCUGUAUGGAAGGGCCAUCGCUCAACGGAUAAAAGGUACUCUGGGGAUAACAGGCUGAUACCGCCCAAGAGUUCAUAUCGACGGCGGUGUUUGGCACCUCGAUGUCGGCUCAUCUCAUCCUGGGGCUGAAGCAGGUCCCAAGGGUAUGGCUGUUCGCCAUUUAAAGAGGUACGCGAGCUGGGUUUAGAACGUCGUGAGACAGUUCGGUCCCUAUCUACCGUGGGCGUUGGAAAUUUGAGAGGAUCUGCUCCUAGUACGAGAGGACCAGAGUGGACGAACCUCUGGUGUUCCGGUUGUUUCGCCAGAAGCAUCGCCGGGUAGCUACGUUCGGAUGGGAUAACCGCUGAAAGCAUCUAAGCGGGAAGCCCACCUCAAGAUAAGAUUUCCCUAAAGAGCCGUUGUAGACUACGACGUUGAUAGGUUGGGUGUGGAAGUGUAGUGAUACAUGUAGCUAACCAAUACUAAUUGCUCGUUUGGCUUGACCAUACAACACCCAAG
RNAcentral lists this ribosomal RNA (2878 nucleotides) under Moraxella catarrhalis. RNAcentral's name for it is "bacterial LSU rRNA". It matches the Rfam family "Bacterial large subunit ribosomal RNA". The record is from RNAcentral. Lineage: Bacteria; Pseudomonadati; Pseudomonadota; Gammaproteobacteria; Moraxellales; Moraxellaceae.